AAGCCUGAAGCAGCCAUGCCGCGUGUAUGAAGAACGCCUUAGGGUUGUAAAGUACUUUCAGCGGGGAGGAAGGUGAUAAGGUAAAUACCCUUAUCAAUUGACGUUACCCGCAGAAGAAGCACCGGCUAUCUCCGUGCCAGCAGCCGCGGUAAUACGGAGGGUGCAAGCGUUAAUCGGAAUUACUGGGCGAAAAGCGCACGCAGGCGGUCAAUAAAGUCAGAUGUGAAAG
This 229-nucleotide ribosomal RNA is filed under the name Proteus mirabilis. Its description in RNAcentral is "partial 16S ribosomal RNA". It matches the Rfam family "Bacterial small subunit ribosomal RNA", at positions 379 to 600 of the family's 1533-position model. The record is from RNAcentral. Lineage: Bacteria; Pseudomonadati; Pseudomonadota; Gammaproteobacteria; Enterobacterales; Morganellaceae.